GACGAAGCGACCUGGAAAGGUCCGUCGUAGAGGGUAACAACCCCGUAGUCGAAACUUCGUUCUCUCUUGAAUGUAUCCUGAGUACGGCGGAACACGUGAAAUUCCGUCGGAAUCUGGGAGGACCAUCUCCCAAGGCUAAAUACUCCCUAGUGAUCGAUAGUGAACCAGUACCGUGAGGGAAAGGUGAAAAGCACCCCGGAAGGGGAGUGAAAGAGAUCCUGAAACCGUGUGCCUACAAAUAGUCAGAGCCCGUUAACGGGUGAUGGCGUGCCUUUUGUAGAAUGAACCGGCGAGUUACGAUCCCGUGCGAGGUUAAGCUGAAGAGGCGGAGCCGCAGCGAAAGCGAGUCUGAAUAGGGCGUUUAGUACGUGGUCGUAGACCCGAAACCAGGUGAUCUACCCAUGUCCAGGGUGAAGUUCAGGUAACACUGAAUGGAGGCCCGAACCCACGCACGUUGAAAAGUGCGGGGAUGAGGUGUGGGUAGCGGAGAAAUUCCAAUCGAACCUGGAGAUAGCUGGUUCUCCCCGAAAUAGCUUUAGGGCUAGCCUUAAGUGUAAGAGUCUUGGAGGUAGAGCACUGAUUGGACUAGGGGUCCUCAUCGGAUUACCGAAUUCAGUCAAACUCCGAAUGCCAAUGACUUAUCCUUAGGAGUCAGACUGCGAGUGAUAAGAUCCGUAGUCAAAAGGGAAACAGCCCAGACCGCCAGCUAAGGUCCCAAAGUGUGUAUUAAGUGGAAAAGGAUGUGG
This 746-nucleotide ribosomal RNA is filed under the name Vibrio parahaemolyticus. Its description in RNAcentral is "partial 23S ribosomal RNA". It matches the Rfam family "Bacterial large subunit ribosomal RNA", at positions 332 to 1078 of the family's 2925-position model. The record is from RNAcentral. Lineage: Bacteria; Pseudomonadati; Pseudomonadota; Gammaproteobacteria; Vibrionales; Vibrionaceae.